This 166-nucleotide ribosomal RNA is filed under the name Aganope impressa. Its description in RNAcentral is "5.8S ribosomal RNA". It matches the Rfam family "5.8S ribosomal RNA". From Rfam's summary of the family: 5.8S ribosomal RNA (5.8S rRNA) is a component of the large subunit of the eukaryotic ribosome. Lineage: Eukaryota; Viridiplantae; Streptophyta; Magnoliopsida; Fabales; Fabaceae. The record is from RNAcentral.
UACAAAAUGACUCUCGGCAACGGAUAUCUCGGCUCUUGCAUCGAUGAAGAACGCAGCGAAAUGCGAUACUUGGUGUGAAUUGCAGAAUCCCGUGAACCAUCGAGUCUUUGAACGCAAGUUGCGCCCGAAGCCGUUAGGUUGAGGGCACGCCUGCCUGGGUGUCACA